This 507-nucleotide ribosomal RNA is filed under the name Triticum aestivum (bread wheat). Its description in RNAcentral is "partial small subunit ribosomal RNA". Lineage: Eukaryota; Viridiplantae; Streptophyta; Magnoliopsida; Poales; Poaceae. The record is from RNAcentral.
AUGGUUUGGAAGGCUUGGGCCCCCCCAAAAGUCAAGUUCUUCGCUUGGCUGGCGUUGCAAGACAGAAUUUGGACCGCCGAUAGAUUGGCCAAACGCGGGUGGCCCAACUGUGAUCUCUGCCCUCUUUGCAAGAGAGUGCAGGAAUGUGGGUCUCAUCUCUUCUUCAAAUGCUGCUACACACGAAGGCUUUGGUCCUUGAUCAUUGACAAAUACCACAUUCACGGUCUUGACACCAAUGGUUGGCCCCUCUUCGACUCGGUUGAGGCUUGGUGGGCAAGUACUUGUGACAAUGACACGCCAAACCGCCAAGCCAAGGCGUCCCUCACCAUGCUUGUUACGUGGACCGUCUGGAAUGAGCGAAACGCAAGGGUCUUCAAGCACAAGUGUGCCCCUCCACCUACAUUGCUUGACUCCAUCGAUACUGAGGCCAACCUUUGGGUCAUCGCCGGUGCAAAAAAAUUAGGGUCUCUUAUUUGCGAGAGUGAUCUCAUGCCGUGUAUUGAGUGA